GUAGGGAAUAUUGCACAAUGGGCGAAAGCCUGAUGCAGCAACGCCGCGUGAGCGAUGAAGGCCUUCGGGUCGUAAAGCUCUUUUCUGGGAGAUGAGAAAGGACAGUAUCCCAGGAAUAAGUCUCGGCUAACUACGUGCCAGCAGCCGCGGUAAAACGUAGGAGGCAAGCGUUAUCCGGAUUCACUGGGCGUAAAGCGCGUGCAGGCGGUUUGGUAAGUUGGGCGUGAAAUCUCCCGGCUCAACUGGGAGGGGUCGUUCAAUACUACCAGACUCGAGAGCGAUAGAGGAAAAUGGAAUUCCCGGUGUAGUGGUGAAAUGCGUAGAUAUCGGGAGGAACACCAGUGGCGAAAGCGAUUUUCUGGAUCGUUUCUGACGCUCAGACGCGAAAGCUAGGGUAGCAAACGGGAUUAGAUACCCCGGUAGUCC
This 426-nucleotide ribosomal RNA is filed under the name uncultured bacterium. Its description in RNAcentral is "bacterial SSU rRNA". It matches the Rfam family "Bacterial small subunit ribosomal RNA", at positions 354 to 796 of the family's 1533-position model. The record is from RNAcentral.